UAAAAGUAUCGUCAAUGGAUAGGCAGCUAGGGUAUUUAUACCCUAUGCUGGUUGGACAUUAGGCGAUCUAACUCGUAUGAGCAAGUAAGGCAUUUGUUUGGAUUGCGAAUACGAGCAGCGAUGUCGAGAGUGCGUAGCACGCAGACAUCGACUUUUA
Molecule: small RNA, 157 nt
Filed under: Clostridiales bacterium CHKCI001
Lineage: Bacteria; Bacillati; Bacillota; Clostridia; Eubacteriales
Description: Clostridiales-1 RNA
Rfam family: Clostridiales-1 RNA
Source: Rfam by way of RNAcentral